This 87-nucleotide transfer RNA is filed under the name Actinobacteria bacterium IMCC26256. RNAcentral's name for it is "tRNA-Leu". It matches the Rfam family "tRNA". Rfam says of the family: Transfer RNA (tRNA) molecules are approximately 80 nucleotides in length. Their secondary structure includes four short double-helical elements and three loops (D, anti-codon, and T loops). Lineage: Bacteria; Bacillati; Actinomycetota; Actinomycetes. RNAcentral also lists the same sequence under 4 other names. The record is from RNAcentral.
GUCGGAGUGGCGGAAUCGGCAGACGCGCUAGCUUAAGGAGCUAGUGCCCGUAAGGGCGUGGGGGUUCAAGUCCCCCCUUCGACACCA